UACGGAGGGUGCGAGCGUUGUCCGGAAUCAUUGGGCGUAAAGGGCGCGUAGGUGGCUUCUUAAGCGUGCGGUGAAAGCCUGGGGCUCAACCCCGGGUCGGCCGUGCGAACUGUUUUGCUUGAGCACUGUAGAGGCAGGCGGAAUUCCGGGUGUAGCGGUGGAAUGCGUAGAGAUCCGGAAGAACACCGGUGGCGAAGGCGGCCUGCUGGGCAGUAGCUGACACUGAGGCGCGACAGCGUGGGGAGCAAACAGG
Molecule: ribosomal RNA, 253 nt
Filed under: uncultured bacterium
Lineage: Bacteria
Description: partial 16S ribosomal RNA
Rfam family: Bacterial small subunit ribosomal RNA
Source: RNAcentral